CAUUUUCGAUUUUUACUCGCCAAAUUAAACUUUGGCAUUUUGCAGACAUUAAGAAAAAAAUUUAAAAAAAUGUGAAUGGGGCUUGUCGAUUUUGUGGGGGUGCGAUUUUCCUGCACAGAGGACAUUUUGGCGGGCAAGAGAAAAAAAAGUGGUGCGGGAAAAAAACGAAAAUUGGGGCGGCGCGCCCUAAAAAACAGGAGUCCUGAAAAAAAGUAUGUGACGAACAUGAAAAAAUCUUUUUUCUGGCGCGCGCAGGAGUCUGCACAUACAAAAAAAAAUAGAAUUCGCGGAAAAAAGAUUUUUUCUGGGUGUGCAGUUCUGCGCGGGGUCAAAACGCGCUCGGAGGAUAUAUAUGUGGGUGAGAGCCUACAACACAGUUGCGAAAAGGCAAAGCGCCUGGAAGCUGCAGUGGCAAAUAUUCCUCGAUGUUGAGGACGGUGCGGACGCCGAGCGCCGUGUGGAACCCUAGUUGAAGCCGGAAGGUGAAGAGAACGCUGUGUUUUGUGGCAGUACUGUAAUCGCAAAUCUCUGAAGCGGAGAAACCUUGGUCGUUGCUGGAAGGUGACGGCGCGUGUGUGCGGCAGUUGCCGGCGGGGGGUCGAAUCCCCCUCGCUGGUGGCGGCGGCGAGUAUGAAGGAGGGCACACACGCGUCGAAACUAACCAGUGACUUCCCGGGUGGACUCGUGGAGGGGAGGCGGGAUAUGCCGGGAGGCCCUCGUCGAAACAUGAUGCACUUGGAUCCGGAUGGGACUUGGAAGAAGCAUGGCAACCAGCGGAGGCACGGUCCAACAAGGAGAUUCGGCCGGUACGGACGGGAAUAUUCUACGCUGCAGUGGACAUGAGAGUUGCUCUUGGAACUACUGUGCAAAGCCAUUGUGGGCAUAGGCGACGGACGUCAGUCCCCGCCCUGGCCACUCGGUAUACGUCAGUCUUGGUCCGACAGUGUCGGGGCAAGCAGUGCUGGGUUUGGUGGAUUACUAGGCGAUGCCUGUACUACUAGACUCUGGGGUGGCGUCUCAACAACUCUGUUGUUGGAGAUCAAACUCCUCUGACGCCUGCCAACAAUGAUUCAUCACUGGAACGCAGGCGGAAGAAAACAAAGUGGGCUACGCAUCAUCAAUCAUCAACUCUACAAGCCACAGCGUUCCGCGCCGGGGUGUAAUAG
RNAcentral lists this unclassified non-coding RNA (1166 nucleotides) under Clavispora opuntiae. Its description in RNAcentral is "external transcribed spacer". The record is from RNAcentral. Lineage: Eukaryota; Fungi; Ascomycota; Pichiomycetes; Serinales; Metschnikowiaceae.